RNAcentral lists this long non-coding RNA (216 nucleotides) under Carica papaya (papaya). RNAcentral describes it as "long non-coding RNA (CPAP_LNC003749)". The record is from RNAcentral. Lineage: Eukaryota; Viridiplantae; Streptophyta; Magnoliopsida; Brassicales; Caricaceae.
UUUUAAUAGUUAAUGUUCACAUAUUGAACCUUGGGGAAAUGGUCUUUGAAGAAGAAAAAAUGAGAAAAAAAAAGAAAACAAAAAAAAGAAUGAAAAAGAAAAUGAAAAAUAAUGAUACUAAACGUGUUAGUGGUGAUAAUAAGGGGAACACUAAAAAUAAGAGUAAUAGAUAAGGGAAUAUAUAGUGAUAUUUAAAUAAUAAUUGUAAAUUUGACA